This 429-nucleotide ribosomal RNA is filed under the name Chloroflexota bacterium. RNAcentral's name for it is "Chloroflexi bacterium partial 16S ribosomal RNA". It matches the Rfam family "Bacterial small subunit ribosomal RNA", at positions 355 to 776 of the family's 1533-position model. The record is from RNAcentral. Lineage: Bacteria; Bacillati; Chloroflexota.
UGGGGAAUAUUGCACAAUGGGCGCAAGCCUGAUGCAGCCAUGCCGCGUGUGUGAAGAAGGCCUUCGGGUUGUAAAGCACUUUCAGCGGGGAGGAAGGCGGUGAGGCUAAUAACCCCACCGACUGACGUUACCCGCAGAAGAAGCACCGGCUAACUCCGUGCCAGCAGCCGCGGUAAUACGGAGGGUGCAAGCGUUUAUCGGAAUUACUGGGCGUAAAGUGCACGCAGGCGGUCUGUCAAGUCGGAUGUGAAAUCCCCGGGCUCAACCUGGGAACUGCAUUCGAAACUGGCAGGCUAGAGUCUUGUAGAGGGGGGUAGAAUUCCAGGUGUAGCGGUGAGAUGCGUAGAGAUCUGGAGGAAUACCGGUGGCGAAGGCGGCCCCCUGGACAAAGACUGACACUCAGGUGCGAAAGAGUGGGGAGCAAACAGG